This 330-nucleotide ribosomal RNA is filed under the name Triticum aestivum (bread wheat). RNAcentral's name for it is "partial small subunit ribosomal RNA". Lineage: Eukaryota; Viridiplantae; Streptophyta; Magnoliopsida; Poales; Poaceae. The record is from RNAcentral.
AUGGCAGAAGCCUCGGCUCUUAAAUUUGGUAUAACAUUGACACAAAGGGCGGGAUGUAAUUGCCUUAUUAUUAACUCGGACAAUCUAAAGGUGAUUGAUACCAUGAAGAACGGAGGACAGUCGGCGGCGUCAAUUUUCGACGACUGUUUUCAUUAUGCUUGUGACUUCGUUGCUACUAGAUUCGAACACUGUAACAGGGAAGCAAAUAAAGUAGCUCAUAAGCUUGCGAGUUUAGCUAGAUUUUCGUUGAUUUCUGAUUGGUUUGAGGAACCUGUAAAUGAAAUUGUAAUGACCCUCACAAAUGAUGUACUUGCUAUCUCUAAUGAAUAA